CGCAUUGAAAAGGAAAGGCCAUCUGUCACUGUAAUUAUCAUUGUUUUUCUCAUCUGGUUUGCGGAUGAUGUUAAAAUCACCACCUAUAAUAAUAGGUACGGUUUCUUUUGAACAUACCUGAACCAUCUCUGAUAAAAAGGAGGACUUAUGUUCAGCCUGAGCCGGCCCAUAAACAGAAAUUAAAUUGAAUUUAAAAUCAUCUUCUCGGUGUCUU
RNAcentral lists this long non-coding RNA (214 nucleotides) under Sorghum bicolor (sorghum). RNAcentral describes it as "long non-coding RNA (SBIC_LNC004610)". The record is from RNAcentral. Lineage: Eukaryota; Viridiplantae; Streptophyta; Magnoliopsida; Poales; Poaceae.